AUCCUGGCUUAGGAUGAACGCUAGCUACAGGCUAACACAUGCAAGUCGAGGGGCAGCAUUAUCGAAGCUUGCUUGAUAGAUGGCGACCGGCGCACGGGUGAGUAACGCGUAUCCAACCUUCCCAUCACUCAGGGAUAGCCCGCCGAAAGGCGAAUUAAUACCUGAUGGUCUCCUUCGCGGACAUCUAACGAGGAGUAAAGAUUUAUUGGUGAUGGAUGGGGAUGCGUCUGAUUAGGUAGUAGGCGGGGUAACGGCCCACCUAGCCGACGAUCAGUAGGGGUUCUGAGAGGAAGGUCCCCCACAUUGGAACUGAGACACGGUCCAAACUCCUACGGGAGGCAGCAGUGAGGAAUAUUGGUCAAUGGACGGAAGUCUGAACCAGCCAAGUAGCGUGCAGGAUGACGGCCCUAUGGGUUGUAAACUGCUUUUGUGCGGGAAUAAAGUUUGGGACGUGUCCCAUUUUGCAUGUACCGCACGAAUAAGGACCGGCUAAUUCCGUGCCAGCAGCGGC
This 511-nucleotide ribosomal RNA is filed under the name uncultured bacterium. Its description in RNAcentral is "bacterial SSU rRNA". It matches the Rfam family "Bacterial small subunit ribosomal RNA", at positions 16 to 518 of the family's 1533-position model. The record is from RNAcentral.